CAGAGGUCCCAAGCGUUGUUCGGAUUCACUGGGCGUAAAGGGUGCGUAGGUGGUCGGGUAAGUUUGAUGUGAAAGCUCCGAGCUUAACUCGGAAAUUGCAUUGAAUACUAUUCGGCUAGAGGGUUGGAGGGGGGACUGGAAUUCUCGGUGUAGCAGUGAAAUGCGUAGAUAUCGAGAGGAACACCAGUGGCGAAGGCGAGUCCCUGGACAACUCCUGACACUGAGGCACGAAAGCUAGGGGAGCAAACAGGAUUAGAUACCCUGGUAGUCCUAGCCGUAAACGGUGCACAUUUGCUGUAAAAGGAUCGACCCCUUUUGUGGCGUAGCAAACGCGAUAAAUGUGCCGCCUGGGAAGUACGGUCGCAAGAUUA
This 371-nucleotide ribosomal RNA is filed under the name uncultured organism. Its description in RNAcentral is "bacterial SSU rRNA". It matches the Rfam family "Bacterial small subunit ribosomal RNA", at positions 526 to 896 of the family's 1533-position model. The record is from RNAcentral.